Long non-coding RNA from Anguilla rostrata (American eel), 3460 nucleotides. RefSeq lists it as uncharacterized. The transcript has 3 exons. Lineage: Eukaryota; Metazoa; Chordata; Actinopteri; Anguilliformes; Anguillidae. The record is from RefSeq and is a predicted model, not a curated record.
AUAACACCUGGCUCACCACCUCUCCUCUCCAGCCAAUAAGACUUGGCUCACCUCUCCUCUCCAGCCAAUAACACCUGGCUCACCACCUCUCCAGCCAAUAACACCUGGCUCACCACCUCUCCUCUCCAGCCAAUAACACCUGGCUCACCACCUCUCCAGCCAAUAACACCUGGCUCACCACCUCUCCAGCUAAUAACACCUGGCUCACCUCUCCUCUCCAGCCAAUAACACCUGGCUCACCACCUCUCCUCUCCAGCCAAUAACACCUGGCUCACCACCUCUCCUCUCCAGCCAAUAACACCUGGCUCACCACCUCUCCAGCCAAUAACACCUGGCUCACCUCUCCUCUCCUGGGGAGGUUUUGCCAACUGUAAAGGCAGCAUAAGCCUACACUGAAGAAAGGUCUCUCUAAGAGGGCUCAAGGACAGCAUCACAUGCCAGGCAUUUCUUGAAACUGGAGAACUUUAAUGAGCGUGCCAAAGUAAAAGGCAUCAGCCUUGGCCUUGAUGACUUCAAUAAGCUCAUCAUCCCUCCACACUCUCUCCACAGUGAAAUCAGUUUUUGUAUCUGUGACAAAAUCACACCAGGCAAGGCCAGUAAUUCCAAGCUGGCCCUGGACUUGCCAGUAAUGCUGGUGGCUUUUCCGAAGCUUUGUCUGACCCCCAGACAGUGCAAUGUGCUUUGCCUCAAUAUCCGGGCACUUGACUUCCACCAGGCCAUAGGGAGGAUCCUCAGUUGGGUCCACUACUUUGCCAUCAGGCCUGGCUCCAAGAUGAGGAGCAACAGGGUGGAUGAUCAGACCACAUCGAUAGACAUUCACAUUAAAGGUAUCAGCAUACCGGCGAAGAACUUCUGGCUCCAGUUGUUGUCCCCUCUUCAUUGCCUUGGUCUGAUGGAUACCCUUGAUUAUCCUUACUGCGAGUGACUUUGAUGUGGACUCGGACCUCACGUGAGCAGCUUCAUAAAACUUGCUGGCAGUAAGACGAAGGCGCCGCAUGCUUACCCAGAGAGGGCAUUUGGAUUGAUCCUGGGUUCCUUCCUCGAUGAUGACAGAAAGCUCGGGUGACACCUCCAGACUUUGCAUGUGCAGGAGCUCUGCUAAGCUUCCAGGCACAAAGUGAAAUUGCGGGAGUGUGUGGUGUGGAACAGGCAAUGGUGGAAAUCUCUGGGCAUCUGGCUGUUUAAUUACAUCUUUGGGCAACACAGGGGGGCACUGGUAGGACAGUAUUGAGCCUUUGGGGACAUCUCCAAAUUUUGAUGGCACAAGACUCAUUUCAGAUAUGCCAUCAACAAUUUUCGCUAUAAGAGGCUGAGGUCUAAGGCAACUCAACGAUGCUGCACCAGCAAGAACAUAUUGAUCCGGUAACAGUCCUAAAUAAAAAAAAAUGUAAAAACAUGUUUUUUUCUGUAAAUGUGCAUUAAUUAGUGAUAUAUAAAUAUUUUUGGAUAAAAAUUACCUCCAUAUGCUCUGUACAGUGUGGAUUGCACACCGUUCCCACCAGAUGCUUUAGGCUUGCGCACCUUAAGCUCAUCUACUGGCUCAGGAUUGAUGCCCUGACAAACCAAAUUUUUGGAAAGAUUUGUAAUUUUAUCUCUGAGAUGGCAUACAAAAUUACUGUAUGAGCUCCAAGUUAGCUAUCUAGUGUCAUUCAUUCUAAAGAACUUGUUAUGAAGCCAUUUGUUUUCUAUUUUUACCUGGGUACGGGGCCGGUGCCAAGUCUGAGGCUUGCUUCUGCAUGCAAGGGCAGCUGGAACAUUUUUGAUUCCCAGUGUGCAGAAAUGGGCAGUCUGAUACAGUAAGGUAACCAAAUUGUUGCACAGGCACCUCCCAGCAGCACAAGAGCAUGCAUAGGCUGUCAUCUCUGUCGGUAGCUUGGUAGUUUCGAGUGUGAUCUGAGGGCACUGAUAUCAAAAUUAGCUUAGCUCACCACAUUAAAAUAAAGAAUGCUAUGGUUAUGACAGUUUUCCAUAGGCCAGUAGUGUCAGGCAUAUGGCAUACAUUCCUGUAUGGAAUUCUGUUCCCGUUCCUGUCGGGGGCAUGUGAAAAUGGCGGCGCGACCGAUGCUUGUGCCGGCCUGUCCUAGUACUAAUACAGUGCCUUUACUUUUCUUAUUUAUUAUAACUCAAUUGCUGCUGACUGUUUUUUUACACUGAGUGUGCCUUCUAGUUUAUAUUUUUUUAUCUACAUUAUUAUUCUAGGCAUAUUGUCUAUUUUUGCACUGUUUUGGACUGGAAGGAACAACAUUUCAUUUUUAUGUAUGCAAGUACACAAAAAUGACAAAUAAAGGAAUCUUGAAUUUAUGCUGGUAGUCAGUAGUUUGUGUGACAUUUAUCUUCUAUAAACCUCAAGCUGAUGUGGCUCCUCACGUUUCCUCAAGGAUCUGUAACACCUUGCCCUCACUAUCACCUUCCCUGCAAUGAUGUUGGAGACUAUAGACACAUUUGUCCCCAAACACACACACACAUACAUACACGCACACAUGCAUACACGCACACACAUAAACACACGAACAACACCAUUACACAGGCGAUUUGACAAGCGAUAUAAAUCCUUAUUAAGUACAGCGCAAACGUCACAAAAUUAACGUUAAUACAAAACUUAGUUCGGAGAUGUUUGACUUCGUAUAGCAUAAGUAAUUUUGUGGAGCCUAACACAUUGUACUUACAUAGCUUUGCCUCCCCUGCUGACCGUUACUGUUAACAGAAUCGCUUUUCCUCACGGUUGUCAGGCUCCCUAUUCAUUCAUUUUCGGGACCUCAGCGAACUUACAACCGAGAGGAACAGAUGCUGUUAACGAACAGCAGAUGUUGUUCACGGUACGAAAACAAAAUGGAGUCGCCUCGAGAAAAUAACUUAUGUUAUAUCAAAGUGAAAUAUCUCUUUGAUCGGCUAACUUGCUGUGGGUUAGCAAGGUAGCUAUUUAGCUUUCUGGCGAACCAGAGCUAACGGUUAUACUUACCUUCAUAACUGAAUAUAAACUUCUCAAAAAAUAAUUUGUAGCCCUUGUCCAUUUUAGACCUCUUUAUGUUCACUGGCAAUGUGUCCACAAUGUGGCUAACAUCCGACAUAGUGAACUUAGGCAGAGCGAUUAUGGACUGUGAGAACACACGUCGCUGUUUAGGCUCCAUUUUUCGCUGUCAGAAAUAGACUUGGCGUCCGUAGCAACGGUAACCGGAAACAAAGUAUCCCUACAUCCGGUUUUGGUCGCCAUCUUGUGAAAUAGGCCUAUGGCGGGCGCGGCCAUGUUCUCGAUUUGGAGCCAAAACCAUAGAGUUAAGCGGUCAAGCGAUUUUUACAAUAUGAUUGACAGUCCGGUGCGGAAAAGCCCAUCAACCUGAACGAACGAUCGCAGAACGAACUUGAGGCUAGCUGACUGUCUGCCGUUAUGUUUUAAAAUAUAUGAUCAAAUGUUUACGGAGUUUAAUUUUCAUCCGUGACUGUACUGUGUCAUGUAAUCACG